This 529-nucleotide ribosomal RNA is filed under the name uncultured bacterium. RNAcentral's name for it is "bacterial SSU rRNA". It matches the Rfam family "Bacterial small subunit ribosomal RNA", at positions 777 to 1304 of the family's 1533-position model. The record is from RNAcentral.
AAUAGAUACCCCGGUAGUCCACGCCGUAAACGUUGGGCGCUAGAUGUGGGGGCCAUUCCACGGUUUCCGCGUCGUAGCUAACGCAUUAAGCGCCCCGCCUGGGGAGUACGGCCGCAAGGCUAAAACUCAAAGGAAUUGACGGGGGCCCGCACAAGCGGCGGAGCAUGCGGAUUAAUUCGAUGCAACGCGAAGAACCUUACCAAGGCUUGACAUAUACGAGAACACUGCAGAAAUGUAGGACUCUUUGGACACUCGUAUACAGGUGGUGCAUGGUUGUCGUCAGCUCGUGUCGUGAGAUGUUGGGUUAAGUCCCGCAACGAGCGCAACCCUCGUCGCAUGUUGCCAGCACGUAAAGGUGGGAACUCAUGUGAGACUGCCGGGGUCAACUCGGAGGAAGGUGGGGAUGACGUCAAAUCAUCAUGCCCCUUAUGUCUUGGGCUUCACGCAUGCUACAAUGGCCGGUACAAAGGGCUGCAAUACCGUAAGGUGGAGCGAAUCCCAAAAAGCCGGUCUCAGUUCGGAUUGAGGU